This 86-nucleotide small RNA is filed under the name uncultured Treponema sp. RNAcentral's name for it is "TD-2 RNA". It matches the Rfam family "TD-2 RNA", at positions 4 to 91 of the family's 98-position model. Rfam says of the family: non coding RNA found in Treponema denticola The record is from RNAcentral. Lineage: Bacteria; Pseudomonadati; Spirochaetota; Spirochaetia; Treponematales; Treponemataceae.
GACAGGAUGUCAGUGGUUCCAUGCAGUAUCGAGUUUUUCAUUAGAAAAACUCGAAGCAAAAAAAUGUACAAGGAUGUACAUUUUUU